UCCUGGCUCAGGAUGAACGCUAGCGGCAGGCUUAACACAUGCAAGGUCGAGGGGCAGCGGGAUGUAGCAAUACAUUGCCGGCGACCGGCGGAUGGGUGCGUAACGCGUAUGCAACCUACCUUAUACAGGGGAAUAACCUUUCGAAAGGGAGACUAACACCCCAUGGUAUUGAUUUAAGGCAUCUUAGAUUAAUUAAAUAUUUAUAGGUAUAAGAUGGGCAUGCGUAUGAUUAGCUAGUUGGUAAGGUAACGGCUUACCAAGGCGACGAUCAUUAGGGGUUCUGAGAGGAAGGUCCCCCACACUGGUACUGAGACACGGACCAGACUCCUACGGGAGGCAGCAGUGAGGAAUAUUGGUCAAUGGGCGCAAGCCUGAACCAGCCAUGCCGCGUGCCAGGAAGACGGCCUUAUGGGUUGUAAACUGCUUUUACAUAAGACUAACCGUAUAUUUGCGAAUAUACCUGAAUGUAUUAUGAGAAUAAGGAUCGGCUAACUCCGUGCCAGCCGCUGC
This 510-nucleotide ribosomal RNA is filed under the name uncultured bacterium. RNAcentral describes it as "bacterial SSU rRNA". It matches the Rfam family "Bacterial small subunit ribosomal RNA", at positions 17 to 518 of the family's 1533-position model. The record is from RNAcentral.